UCUUUCCAGGUGUCUCCAACGU
RNAcentral lists this microRNA (22 nucleotides) under Panine betaherpesvirus 2 (Chimpanzee cytomegalovirus). RNAcentral's name for it is "miR-UL36-5p". Lineage: Duplodnaviria; Heunggongvirae; Peploviricota; Herviviricetes; Herpesvirales; Orthoherpesviridae. The record is from RNAcentral.